GGGAGUUCGCUUCUCAGUUUCAAAGUAAUUAACUUUUCAAAACACUAGUUUAUAUUGAUAAGGAAUUAAUACAGGAAUCCAAAGAGCAAAAAAAAUAUAUAGGUCACCGUGCUUGUUUUCGAGAUAUGAGUCAUUGAAAUUUUGGCGGGAAAAUAUUCUCUCUUGACUUUUCAUAGCUUUAUCAUUGACAAGUUAAAGUUCUCAAAAACUGUUUAAAAGUAAUUAAAAUUUUAUAAGACUUUUACAGAUGGCUUAUCAUUAUACAUGUUAAAGAAUUUCAAAAAGAAAAAUGGGGGUCACCGGGCAAAUUUUUUCAAGGCAUUCAAAUGGAUAAAACCAGAGGAUUCCGAAAAUCUGACAAAAAAAUCCAAAACAUGACAAGCCAGCUUCCUUAAACGAGAUUUGAUACAU
This 411-nucleotide long non-coding RNA is filed under the name Mytilus galloprovincialis (Mediterranean mussel). Lineage: Eukaryota; Metazoa; Mollusca; Bivalvia; Mytilida; Mytilidae. The record is from RNAcentral.